Long non-coding RNA from Brachypodium distachyon (stiff brome), 2506 nucleotides. RefSeq lists it as uncharacterized. The transcript has 2 exons. The record is from RefSeq and is a predicted model, not a curated record. Lineage: Eukaryota; Viridiplantae; Streptophyta; Magnoliopsida; Poales; Poaceae.
UAGCUCUUAAGCGUGAAAAAACCUUUUAUGAACAUGCGCAUUGUGUGACAAUCCUUGUGGACCUUAUGGUCAUGGACUCUCGGAGAUGGAGUAGUAUCGCACAUAUCGCUAUUCGCCUUAGUUUUUGUUUUUUUGUUUUUUUAGAGCAAGUUUUUGUUUUUUUUGGUGUUCUCUGUAAUUCCUUCAAUUCGAAAUGGUAUUUGUUUUCCCUUUUCUUACUGGGCCAAUCUCUCAGCCCAUCAUCCCUUUCUCCUUCUCCAGGCUCGGCCCAUUUCUUCCCCUCAACCCAGAUCAGCACGCUUCUCGUGGCGGCGCCGGCGGCAACUGCCACAACCACGACGCCACGCUCUGGCGACCGAACUGCUGCUAUGCCCCUCCCCUCUCCCUUUCCCCAAACAACACCCGAGAAUCCUCUUCCGAAACUGCUGCUAGCCUCGAAGGUCGCCGCCGGAAACGAACCGGCUCGAUUCCUUCACACCGGAGCACCGCCACACCACCCGGAGCAGGACGCCCCAAGCCUCCGACCAUUUGGAGCUCCGUCCACUACAUCGCCCGACUUCUGCAUUUUUUCCUUCCACCCCGGCCACUGUUUGCUGCCCCGUUCAUCUUCUCCAGCGAGGGAUUGCCUUUACAAGUUUGUGGCAGUAUUCCUUUAUGAUGUGCUGAUAUAUUCCAAGAGUGAGAAAGAACAUGAAGAGCACCUCAGCUCAUGGAGAGGUUAAAGGCACAUCAACUUUAUGCCAAGUUCAAUAAGUGCAGGUUUUCGAUAAAAGAAGUUAAUUUCUUAGGUCAUGUGGUAUUUGGAGGAGCUAUUGUGGACCUGGCCAAGGUUGAGUCAGGGCACAAUUGGUUUCAGCCAAAGAAUUUUUCAGAUUCAAACUUUUCUUGGACUCGCGGGUCAUUGCUCUUGGUUCAUUGAGAACUUAUCCAAGAUUGCUAGACCAACCACACAACUGAUAAAGAAAGAGCAAGUUUGGCUGGUUAAAGGCUUGCGAAGAGGGUUUCCAAGAGCUUAAAAGAAGACUGACAUCUGCACCGGUGUUGUUAUUACAGAACAUUAGAAAGGACUUGGAAGUAUAUUGAGAUGCUUCUCGCCAAAGCCUCGGAUGUGUACUGAUCCAUAUGGGGAAAGGCAGUAGUCUAUCCCUCACAACAGCUAUGAGCUCAUGAGGUUAAUUACCUCACCCAUGAUUUGGACUUAGUGGCGGUAGUAGUACAUGCCCUAAAGAUUUGGCGACACUGCCUAAUUGUUAACCGAUGUGAGCUUUAUAGUAACCAUAAGAGCCUAAAGUACAUCUUCACGCUGCCAUCGGAUCUGAAUGAGCCAAAGAAGAUGGCUAGAGUUGAUCAAAUACAAUGAUGUUGGAAUCAACUACACCUCGGGAAAGGACAAUGUUGGAGCGGAUGCUUUAAGCCAUCGAGCUUAUUGCGAUAGCUACAUGAUAGCAGAGAGUCAGCCAUCUCUACACAAAGAAUAUUAUAAAUUAAAUCUACAUGUGACUUGCUGAAAAUAAAAAGAUGUUCGAAGUAAAGUUUACAUUAGAGGAUCAAGUCCAAGAAGCCUAGAAGGACGAUGAAGAUCUUAAUUAAAGAGAUCCGCCUGGACAUGAAGAAGAGUAAAACACUAUGAUUUAGGGAAGAUGAGAAUGGUAAUAUCCUAUAUCAGGAUUGUUUAUUUGUACCCGACCAACCUGACAUCAAGCAGUUCAUCAUGAAUGAGGCUCAUGAAUUUGCGUAUUCCAUCCACCUUAGGACUGCAGAGAUGUAUCAAGAUAUCAAGGAUACGUUUUGGUGGUCUAGCUUGACGCUUGAGAUCGCUGAGUAUGUUGCUCUCUCAUAGCGUGAAGACACAAUAUCAUAAGCCUGCAUGAUUGUUCCUACCAGAGUGGAAAUGGGAAGAAGUCAAAUGGACUUUAUCAUGGGACUUUCAAGGACGAAGACUAGUUUUGACUCGGUAUGAGUUAUCGUUGACAAAUUGACCAAAGUCAACCCACUUCAUGCCAGUGAAGACCAAUUACCAAGGAGACAGGUUAACGGAUAUCUGCUUAUUCCAUCCGUAUCCUUGGAAGAUGUGCUCUCGAUCCCCUUGAGUUUAUUCAAGAUGGAUGGACGAGUUACACAUCCCUUGGUAGGGGGGAGGGUUAUUUAUAGCUUGGGUCGUUGUCCUCGACAAAUGUCCAUCAAUGCCCUUUUGGGAUGAAAAGUGGGAGGGACCAAGGGGGGGUGGUUAUUUAUAGCUUGGGUCGUUGUCCUUGACAAAUGUCCAUCAAUGCCCUUUUGGGAUGAAAAGUGGGAGGUAAGUUCUAGAAAUUAUCUGAGCCCUGCCGCCAAUUCUUUUUAACACAUUCCUAUGCUUGAGUCAUAUUUCUUCAUACUUAGGUCCUUUUUGUUUUGACUUGUUGACUUGCCUAGAUGGCUUGGCUAUCUUGUGGCACCUUGAUCGGACGAAGACUUCUAUUGAAUUGGUAUAUUGACAUGUCCGAUUAGAGGCAUGUCCGAUAUAUAA